CGGAAUCAGUUUCAUACUUGUAAAAGUUUUCUACUAAAAAAAGAUGAACUAGUACAUGAGAACAAGCUAUGUAUUGCUACACUAGACCAAAAUCAUCUGCCAAGGAAACUCAAACAGUUCAGUUAUUCAGUCCAAUUACACAAUUCAGGGUUUAUGUAAAUAAAAAUUAAAUUAAACUAUAUUAACCCAUUACAUAUCAUUUAAGAUCUAUUUGACUGUUAACCAUAGCAGUCCAAACAGGCAUAAUUCAAGAAGCAGAUGCAUGAGCAUUUUCAUUUCAUUUCCAUCUCAAAGCUAUACCAAGUUCAAAUGUGCACCUGGAAUUUUAACACAAUAAGAAGAGGAGAAGUCAACGGCAAUAGUGAGGAGUUUGCAGUGUUAAACAACAGGAAGGCAACAACAGUUUCGACUUGGAAUCCCAGCAAUAAAAACCAGUAAACAGACACAAAAUUGACUCGAACAGAUCAAUUUCAACUUGAAAUCAACCCAGGAGACUUUAAUCUCAAUUACUGAACAGAAUUCAAUGUAACAGUCUAAUUUUUUUUAGGUUUUCUGUUGUUUUUCUUUUGGUUUUGAAGAACUAGAUCUAGAAUAGAUUUCCUAACUCUGAAAUUUCAGUUGUAGCUUUUUAAUGUGAAACUCAAAUUUUCAGAUCGUGAAACUUUUUCCCCAAAA
Molecule: long non-coding RNA, 675 nt
Filed under: Nicotiana benthamiana
Lineage: Eukaryota; Viridiplantae; Streptophyta; Magnoliopsida; Solanales; Solanaceae
Description: long non-coding RNA (NBEN_LNC020246)
Source: RNAcentral